This 439-nucleotide ribosomal RNA is filed under the name uncultured bacterium. RNAcentral's name for it is "partial 16S ribosomal RNA". It matches the Rfam family "Bacterial small subunit ribosomal RNA", at positions 338 to 795 of the family's 1533-position model. The record is from RNAcentral.
CCUACGGGUGGCAGCAGUGGGGAAUAUUGCACAAUGGGCGAACGCCUGAUGCAGCAACGCCGCGUGAGCGAUGAAGGCCUUCGGGUCGGAAAGCUCUGUCCUCAAGGAAGAUAAUGACGGUACUUGAGGAGGAAGCGCCGGCUAACUACGUGCCAGCAGCCGCGGUAAUACGUAGGGGGCUAGCGUUAUUCGGAAUUACUGGGCGUAAAGGGUGCGUAGGUGGUUUCUUAAGUCAGAGGUAAAGGGGUACGGCUCAACCGUAGUAAGCCUUUGAUACUGGGGUACUUGAGUGCAGGAGAGGAGAGUGGAAUUCCUGGUGUAGCGGUGAAAUGCGUAGAUAUUAGGAGGAACACGAGUUGCGAAGGCGGCUCUCUGGCCUGUAACUGACACUGAAGCACGAAAGCGUGGGGAGCAAACAGGAUUAGAUACCCGUGUAGUC